UACGUAGGGGGCUAGCGUUGUCCGGAAUUCUUGGGCGUAAAGAGCGCGUAGGCGGUUUGUUGCGUCGGCUGUGAAAUCCCGAGGCUCAACCUCGGGUCUGCAGUCGAUACGAGCAAACUAGAGUGUUGCAGGGGAGACUGGAAUUCCUGGUGUAGCGGUGAAAUGCGCAGAUAUCAGGAGGAACACCGGUGGCGAAGGCGGGUCUCUGGGCAACAACUGACGCUGAGGAGCGAAAGCGUGGGGAGCAAACAGG
RNAcentral lists this ribosomal RNA (253 nucleotides) under uncultured bacterium. RNAcentral describes it as "partial 16S ribosomal RNA". It matches the Rfam family "Bacterial small subunit ribosomal RNA", at positions 524 to 776 of the family's 1533-position model. The record is from RNAcentral.